GGCGCUAUCCCUCCUGAGCUGAGAAAGAAGGCAAGGGGCCCCUCCGGGGGCGAUUAUGGUGAAGCGGAUGCCUUGUUAGCGGGGUGUUAAGCACUUGAGUACGACACUCGGGCCCUUGACCUCCGCUAUGGCUUCGUAGGGUGUGAUGAGUGCUUUACCCGGCGCUCAUCCACUGCCCAGCCCACCUACCCUUGUGACAUGGGCACCGCAGAUCCCUGCGCUGCCCUUGUCGGUUGUAUAUCACUCCUGAGCUA
RNAcentral lists this non-coding RNA (254 nucleotides) under Bartramia halleriana. The record is from RNAcentral. Lineage: Eukaryota; Viridiplantae; Streptophyta; Bryopsida; Bartramiales; Bartramiaceae.